GAUGAACGCUAGCGACAGGCUUAACACAUGCAAGUCGAGGGGCAUCAUGAGGUAGCAAUACCUUGAUGGCGACCGGCGCACGGGUGAGUAACGCGUAUGCAACCUGCCCGAUACCGGGGUAUAGCCCAUGGAAACGUGGAUUAACACCCCAUAGUACUUUUAUCCUGCAUGGGAUGUGAGUUAAAUGUUUAAGGUAUCGGAUGGGCAUGCGUCCUAUUAGUUAGUUGGCGGGGUAACAGCCCACCAAGACGAUGAUAGGUAGGGGUUCUGAGAGGAAGGUCCCCCACAUUGGAACUGAGACACGGUCCAAACUCCUACGGGAGGCAGCAGUGAGGAAUAUUGGUCAAUGGACGUAAGUCUGAACCAGCCAAGUCGCGUGAGGGAAGACUGCCCUAUGGGUUGUAAACCUCUUUUAUAAGGGAAGGAAUAAGUUCUACGUGUAGAAUGAUGCCUGUACCUUAUGAAUAAGCAUCGGCUAACUCCGUGCCAGCAGCCGCGGUAAUACGGAGGAUGCGAGCGGUUAUCCGGAUUUAUUGGGUUUAAAGGGUGCGUAGGCGGUUUAUUAAGUUAGUGGUUAAAUAUUUGAGCUAAACUCAAUUGUGCCAUUAAUACUGGUAAACUGGAGUACAGACGAGGUAGGGCGGAAUAAGUUAAGUAGCGGUGAAAUGCAUAGAUAUAACUUAGAACUCCGAUAGCGAAGGCAGCUUACCAGACUGUAACUGACGCUGAUGCACGAGAGCGUGGGUAGCGAACAGGAUUAGAUACCCUGGUAGUCCACGCCGUAAACGAUGCUCACUGGUUCUGUGCGAUAUAUUGUACGGGAUUAAGCGAAAGUAUUAAGUGAGCCACCUGGGGAGUACGUCGGCAACGAUGAAACUCAAAGGAAUUGACGGGGGCCCGCACAAGCGGAGGAACAUGUGGUUUAAUUCGAUGAUACGCGAGGAACCUUACCUGGGUUUAAAUGGGAAAUGUCGUAUUUGGAAACAGAUAUUCUCUUCGGAGCGUUUUUCAAGGUGCUGCAUGGUUGUCGUCAGCUCGUGCCGUGAGGUGUCGGGUUAAGUCCCAUAACGAGCGCAACCCUUACCGUUAGUUGCUAGCAUGUAAUGAUGAGCACUCUAACGGGACUGCCACCGUAAGGUGAGAGGAAGGCGGGGAUGACGUCAAAUCAGCACGGCCCUUACACCCAGGGCUACACACGUGUUACAAUGGCCGGUACAGAGGGCCGCUACCAGGUGACUGGAUGCCAAUCUCAAAAGCCGGUCGUAGUUCGGAUUGGAGUCUGUAACCCGACUCCAUGAAGUUGGAUUCGCUAGUAAUCGCGCAUCAGCCAUGGCGCGGUGAAUACGUUCCCGGGCCU
RNAcentral lists this ribosomal RNA (1357 nucleotides) under uncultured bacterium. RNAcentral's name for it is "bacterial SSU rRNA". It matches the Rfam family "Bacterial small subunit ribosomal RNA", at positions 28 to 1381 of the family's 1533-position model. The record is from RNAcentral.